This 266-nucleotide long non-coding RNA is filed under the name Ananas comosus (pineapple). RNAcentral's name for it is "long non-coding RNA (ACOM_LNC024398)". The record is from RNAcentral. Lineage: Eukaryota; Viridiplantae; Streptophyta; Magnoliopsida; Poales; Bromeliaceae.
CGGCCAGCCGCAGCCGCUCCAGACCCGUUCGGGCCGAGGCGAACUCGCGACGCCCUCCCUGCGUCGCCGCCGCGUGGGACCACACCCGAGGCAUCCCUCCGGCCUCAGGCAACCCUCCGCCGCCGUCCUGGAGCUCCGCGGCCGCCGCCGUGCCCGCCAUUGCCCGCGGAACCCGAGCUGAGCCUGUGCGGGCUUGCCUUGCUCCGCCGUCGCCGCCGCCGCUCUCCGUCAUCACCUGAGGUGAGCGCCAUGCUCCUUCCCUCCCC